RNAcentral lists this ribosomal RNA (383 nucleotides) under uncultured eukaryote. RNAcentral's name for it is "partial 18S ribosomal RNA". It matches the Rfam family "Eukaryotic small subunit ribosomal RNA", at positions 592 to 976 of the family's 1831-position model. The record is from RNAcentral.
CAAUAGCGUAUAUUAAAGUUGUUGCAGUUAAAAAGCUCGUAGUUGGAUUUCUGGUGGGAGCGAUCGGUCUGGCGCUUAGCGCGAGUACUUGCAUCGUCUCCGGCCAUCCUUGGGGAGAGUCUGUCUGGCAUUAGGUUGUUGGGCAGAGGAUCCUCAUCGUUUACUGUGAAAAAAUUAGAGUGUUCAAAGCAGGCUUAUGCCGUUGAAUAUAUUAGCAUGGAAUAAUAAGAUAGGACUUUGGUACUAUUUUGUUGGUUUGCGCACCAAAGUAAUGAUUAAUAGGGACAGUUGGGGGUAUUCGUAUUCCGUUGUCAGAGGUGAAAUUCUUGGAUUUACGGAAGACGAACUACUGCGAAAGCAUUUACCAAGGAUGUUUUCAUUAA